AAAAUGGCAAUAAUUACCUCAAACGUGGGCAUUCAUCCUGGUUUUAGCCUUUUUUGAAAUCAUGUAGCCAGCUUGAUCUUGAGAUUUAAAAGACUGAAUUCUGUGUGGGCUGAAAAUAUUGAUUAAUGCACACCCUGGUUGUUGUUGCUUAAGUGAAUUCUAACAAAAGUUCAUCUUUAGAGAAGAAAUUAAACCAAGGAAGGGAUGAUUCUCUGCGUAUUGUAAUUAAAUGUGAUGUUCCAGUAUACCCACGCACAGCAUAUAUAUUCUUAGCUACUGUAAAAUGCUGUUAGCCUUCUGAGAUACCAAGAGUCUCACUUUAAACAAGUAAACUAAGUAAAUGACUCUGGAUACUUAAGCAUAUUUCUGGCUACGUUUUAUAGUUAAAGUGUUUUAUAGUUUACAUUUAAACUGGUACUUUUUAAAGAAAAUUCCUGUUUCUAACUGACAUCUCCAAACCCCAGCAAUUGCCUCUACAGGAGGAGGCCGUGUAUCCCCAAGUCACCUUUGUUCUACCUAUACUGUCCUGUGGCCCAGUGUGUGCAUUUCCCUCCAUAACGCUGGUUUCCAGGCGAGCUAGAGAGAAUGUGAAAGGAAGUCGGGAUGGGGUGGGAAGGGUCAGACCCCAGCUCUGGCCGGCUGGGGUCUCAUGCCGUGUUGGAUCCACGCUUGUCUGCAGGCCUCUGACACCUUGGAAGAGGCAGCAAAAACUGACCCCUGGUCCAUUGAUUUUUUUCUUGAUUUGAAUAUUUCACUUGUUCAUAGAUCUACUCGCUUCCAUUCACCAGGCAAUAGAAGACACUGGGAUUCAGGUGGCCCCAGAGAUCCAGCUGCUAUUUCCUGGGCCACCAGUGAUAUUCUGAGCAAUGUCGAAAAGAAGAACAAUACACCUCCAUGCCUGUAUUCAUUGGCUGGGGUUUUUGUAUAUCUGCUGUCUUACUCAUUCUCUCCUUUAAACAAAAAUCAGUGCAAAAGGACGUGUCUACUUUUCACGCAUGGUCAAGCUGAGAUGUGAGGCCCAGUUCAGUGAGCGUGAAAAGUAGGUUCAGUUCAGAGACUGAGCUGCUGAGCCCAAGGAUCUGGAGAAGGAGGAGCCCAGGCCGGUCCCCCAAGGCCUGGUGCACAGAGAGGGCUUGUGACAAUGAGAGAGCUUAGGGCAGGCUGGGAAGUGCUGUUUUCCUUAAGUCUUGUUUGGUUUUUAUUUUCUCUUGUGCCACCACCGGACUGUGGAGGACCUGCUGUGACCUCAGGUGCGAUUCAUUCCUCUAACAGAUGCGACCUUGAGAACUGCAGCACACUCAGGACCAGGGAGCUCUCUGUUCACAUCGUACCUUGGAUUUCUCCCUGUGGGCCACAGGGACACCAGGGUCUUGUUUGGCUUUCUUUGUUAGAAUUGUUGCUAUGGAGUGCUCUUUCCUCUCGCCCUCUUAACUGUCCUCCCACCUUUGUGUGUGCUCGUGUGUGUGUGUGCACGCGUGUGCUUUUCCUUUGCACUAAUUAACCAAAUGAAUUUUGUGUCAUUGUCUUUGGGGCUCAUCUAUAUUUUUAAAAACUAGAGGUAUAGAAAUUGGCUCUUUUUAUUGUUUGAAAAGUAUGUUUUAAAGAGGGCUCUGGUAUUGCUCUUUCUAGUUCCCUUUCAACCAAGUCUCCAAAUGAAUCUCUCCUGGCACCGCCCCCCAGUUUUCCUUGUGUUGGGUCACUGUCCCUGUGGCCACCUCAGCCUCCACCUGCUGUCACCACAGCCCCGUGCCCAGGCACCCAGGACUUCCGAGAAGCUUGAGAGCCAGGCCGAAAGGCCCUUUGCCUGCUGUCAGAGAGCCACCCACUGGGCUCCAGGGACACUGGGUUAUUACUGUUGAGUCACCUGGCUCAGGUGGGAAGGAGGAACUUGGGAAGUGAAGUCCCUUUGUGCACUGCCCACCCCCCUUGUCUCUGUGUCCCUGCUUAUUUAAAGCUUGCUUUUUUCCAUGCUUUCCCAGGGCAUAACCAUUUCAGGCCCCCAAAGCAUCUCUUCACCCUCUUCACGUGCGUUUUUUUAACCAAAUGAAAUAAAGGAGAAAGGCACACUCUGGGGCAGCAGAAGCCCUAGUUAGUAGAAUCACUGUGUAGACAGAGUUGUUGAUAUAUAUGUCUGUGGAUAUAUAUCAAACCAAAUUCUGGUAGGAGAAGAUAGCUUUACGGCUGAGGGGAAGCGGAGCCCUGUAGAGGUCGGAGCCAGCCUUAGCAUGGGCAUCCCUGCUCCUUCACACAUGGGCCAGGUGGCCCUUGUCCCUCUCACCACAGUGGAGCUGGGUCCUGAGGGGGGCCACCGCUCUCUGGUCCCCAGCAUCAAGGACAUGGAUGAGGAAGAGGUGGCAGCCGAUCAGAAUGACUGGAAUUUUCCAGGCUGUUUUCCUUUGACCACACAUACUGAGCUGCAGCCCGAUAGUAUAUCACAUUUCCAGAAAUGAUACCCAUUAGGAUGGAAAGAGAACAGAUCUGUAGAAAUGUUUACCUUCCAGCUGCCCAUGAAUUCAGGACACUCUGGACAGACAGGCACACUCGCCAGAAAGCCAGCGGGAAAGAGGAAGCCUGGUGACACCCGGUCCCCAGCCCUAGGUACAUGGCUCCCUCCUGGUCACCUCACCCAGCUCUUUCUCUACCGGGUCAUCUUAGCUCAAUCUCAGUAACCCCAUGAAGCCCUGGUCCGUUGUGUUUCUCACUGUACGGUUUCUGUAAUAAAAAGUGUUAAUCCAUGUUAAUCUGUGUGAAAAUUAUUGCGUGCAACAGUAUUUUCUUGUGUACCUCUUUUCCCUCUGUGAAUUGUCCCUCUUUUCUUUUUUAUUUAUAAAUGUCUACUUUUUUAAAGACAAACCAAUGUGUUGUAGACCUCUGUGUAACUAUUCCUUAGUCUCAUAUUAUAGGUAUGUUAUAAGAAUGGAUAUUUUACUUGGCUUUAGAAUGUUUUACAAGAAAACUAAUUCUUAACUGAUCAAGUCCUUGCUACUAAAAUGCUUGUGUUUUUUCAUCAUGAUGUCGUGUGCUUCUAAAUUAAUCAUUUUCGUUGUAGAAAAAUGGAGUGAAUUUAUAUUAGUCUUGGAAACUAAUAGCAUUGUAAAUUUAUGAGAUGAUUUUAACAGAAAAAAUUAUAGAAGAAUAUAGUUAUUUUAAUUGUAAUAUUACUAACUGUAGGGUGAGAAACGGGGUCCUGUUGUGGUGAACUAUGUUAUAGCUUGUUACAGUUUCUUUUGAUCAUUUUUUCGGUCUCUGAGGUGAAACGAGUUAUUAAUUAAAAUUUGUAAACUCACAUAUGCAUAUUGUAUAUGUGUAGAAAUGUAAUCACACUUCGUCUUGGAAUUACAUUAAACUGUUUGGAAUCACUGGACA
This 3366-nucleotide long non-coding RNA is filed under the name Heterocephalus glaber (naked mole-rat). Its description in RNAcentral is "lncRNA (ENSHGLG00000041139.1)". The record is from RNAcentral. Lineage: Eukaryota; Metazoa; Chordata; Mammalia; Rodentia; Bathyergidae.